AUGACGAACGCCUCGGGUGGCCCUGCCGCUGGCCCCGCCCCUGCGAGUGAUGGACGGGAGCGGCAGCCGAUCGAGGGCUUCGCUGCUGAGGCGGGCGCUGCGGCUGAGCCGGGCGGCACCCUAGAAGAUGGACAUUUGACAGGCCACAAUAGACUGCUCCUUUCCCAGAUUCUUCCACGAAUCAUCUGGAAUAAGAACAGAAACAGAUAUGGGGAGACAAAAGUCAGAGACAAGCUAAAUGGAUACUUACUCCAGACUACAAUCAGUCCUCAAGAAAAGCCAGUUAAUGAUACUUGAGACAAUGGGCCUGAUCUCCUGCUCUCCCAUAGCCACACUGAAAUGCUCCCACUCCAAUGGUUUCAUAACAACCCAGUUUCUGCAUCAGCCUGCCCUUCGUUCUUCAUGGGAAUGUAGUCUUUGGGCCUCACCACGAGAGACAACAUUAUGUCCAGAGCAGAGUAAAUGGAAAUAAUUCAGAAAACUAUAUUGAAGAUAUU
RNAcentral lists this long non-coding RNA (497 nucleotides) under Anas platyrhynchos platyrhynchos (common mallard). Its description in RNAcentral is "lncRNA (ENSAPLG00000019258.1)". The record is from RNAcentral. Lineage: Eukaryota; Metazoa; Chordata; Aves; Anseriformes; Anatidae.